Oryctolagus cuniculus (rabbit) is the source of this 269-nucleotide unclassified non-coding RNA. It matches the Rfam family "Metazoan signal recognition particle RNA". Rfam says of the family: The signal recognition particle (SRP) is a universally conserved ribonucleoprotein. It is involved in the co-translational targeting of proteins to membranes. The eukaryotic SRP consists of a 300-nucleotide 7S RNA and six proteins: SRPs 72, 68, 54, 19, 14, and 9. The record is from Ensembl. Lineage: Eukaryota; Metazoa; Chordata; Mammalia; Lagomorpha; Leporidae.
CCUUUUUGGUGCGCGCCUGUAGUCCCAGCUACUCGGGAGGCUGAGGCCGGAGGAUCGCUUGAGUCCAGGAGUUCUGGGCUGUCGUGUGCUAUGCCGAUUGGGUGUCCGCACUAAGUUCGGCAUCAAUGUGGUGACCUCCCGGAAGCAGGGGACCACCAGGUUGCCUAAGGAGGGGUGAACCGGCCCAGGUCAGAAAUGGAGCAGGUCAAAACUCCCGUGCUGAUCAGGAAUUUCAAAAACAAAUAUAUUUUGUGAAAACAAAGAUUCUU